UACGUAGGGCGCAAGCGUUGUCCGGAAUUAUUGGGCGUAAAGAGCUCGUAGGUGGCUUGUCGCGUCUGCCGUGAAAGCCCGUGGCUUAACUACGGGUCUGCGGUGGAUACGGGCAGGCUAGAGGCUGGUAGGGGCAAGCGGAAUUCCUGGUGUAGCGGUGAAAUGCGCAGAUAUCAGGAGGAACACCGGUGGCGAAGGCGGCUUGCUGGGCCAGUUCUGACGCUGAGACACGAAAGCCAGGGGAGCGAACGGG
Molecule: ribosomal RNA, 253 nt
Filed under: uncultured bacterium
Lineage: Bacteria
Description: partial 16S ribosomal RNA
Rfam family: Bacterial small subunit ribosomal RNA
Source: RNAcentral